AACCUGUCAGCAGGUAUCUGGCUAUGCCUGCUUCCCGCAUCCAGCCCCCACCUGGAUACCACCUGGCAGUCACAUGCACAUUUAUCAUGGAGCAGCGGCUGACUCACCCCUUUGUACCAGAACUGACUCAUACAUUAAGAGAGGGAGAACAGGCUUGUUGUGCUCCGCAAGACAGAACACAAUUCUGUGCCAGAAUUUACAGAGGACCAUUUCGACAACCCUUGAGGCUGAUUUGACUGUCUAGUAGUCCUGAAUCUGUUUCUAGAUAAGAGAAGCAGAUUGGCCCAGUUUGGCAGGACAGCCGGACCGUCCUUACGACCCAGAGGCUGGGGCCAAGCUGGAGUGUUCCAAGAGGACAAGCCCCAGUGUGGAAAAAAAGCUUUUUUGUAUUAAUGCAAAUCAUUCUGGGUGUGACUUGCUUUGUCUCCUACCCUAUAAAUAAAGCCUUUUACAGGCUUUUACAGGAUUGAGUGAGGAAAGGACUUGUUGAGCUGUGCAACUUCUGGAAAGAACAUCUACAAUUACAGUGCAGUUUUUAAAGCCUGCUGUCACCUGGCUGGACGGCUCCUAUGAGGAUGAACUCUGGCAUGGCUCCACCUGCUAGGUGCACACUUGGAGUGCCACACUUACUGUGAGGAAAUUUCUUAUAAAGAUAUAUACUUACAUACAACCCAGCAACCCCACUCACAGCUAUUUGCCGACGACAUGACAGCAUACGACCACCCAAAGACUUGCAAGUGUCAGUUCACAACAACUCUAUUUGUAAUAGCCAGACAUCAGAAACAGCCCACAUGUUUACCAACAAGUGAGUGGAUAAACAAAUCAUAAUAUAUCCAUCCAAUGGGGUAUUCAACAAUGAAAAAAAUGAACUAUUGAUACAUUCAACAACAUGGAUGAAUCUCAAAACAAGCUGAAUGAAAGAAGCCAGACUCCCCCCACCCCGCAAAAAUUACAUUAUGUGUUUGAUUCCAUUUAUAUGAAAUCCCUGGACAAGCAAACUAAUAUACAGUAACAGAAAGCAGACCAAUGGUAACCUGGAAUGGACAGUGGUAGAAGGAUGAGAGAGAGAAACUGAGGAAUUGCCGAGGGGAAUAAGGAACUUUUGGGAAUGAUAGAGAUGUUCGUUAUCUUGGUGGUAGUGAUGGUUUCCAGUGUAUAUUAUAUGAGUCAAAGGUUAUCCAAUUGUGUAAUUUAAAUAUGCACUUUUUAUUGUACAUCAUUAUACCUCAAUAAAGCUG
This is a non-coding RNA of Manis javanica (Malayan pangolin), 1238 nucleotides long. The record is from RefSeq and is a predicted model, not a curated record. NCBI's taxonomy places the organism in Eukaryota, Metazoa, Chordata, Mammalia, Pholidota, Manidae.